GUCCAGGGUAGCCUAGUGGACAUGGCAUCUGCCCGGUAAGCGGAACACUGUGGGUUCGAUUCCCAUCCCCGGACA
RNAcentral lists this transfer RNA (75 nucleotides) under Cordylochernes scorpioides. Its description in RNAcentral is "tRNA-Thr". It matches the Rfam family "tRNA". Rfam says of the family: Transfer RNA (tRNA) molecules are approximately 80 nucleotides in length. Their secondary structure includes four short double-helical elements and three loops (D, anti-codon, and T loops). Further hydrogen bonds mediate the characteristic L-shaped molecular structure. tRNAs have two regions of fundamental functional importance: the anti-codon, which is responsible for specific mRNA codon recognition, and the 3' end, to which the tRNAs corresponding amino acid is attached (by aminoacyl-tRNA synthetases). tRNAs cope with the degeneracy of the genetic code in two manners: having more than one tRNA (with a specific anti-codon) for a particular amino acid; and 'wobble' base-pairing, i.e. permitting non-standard base-pairing at the 3rd anti-codon position. Lineage: Eukaryota; Metazoa; Arthropoda; Arachnida; Pseudoscorpiones; Chernetidae. The record is from RNAcentral.